This is a long non-coding RNA of Aethina tumida (small hive beetle), 330 nucleotides long. RefSeq lists it as uncharacterized. Lineage: Eukaryota; Metazoa; Arthropoda; Insecta; Coleoptera; Nitidulidae. The record is from RefSeq and is a predicted model, not a curated record. The transcript is spliced from 3 exons.
GUGGUAGUAAGAGUGAGCUGGAGCGGCGUAGGAGAAAGCUGGAGCAGCGGCGUAGGAAAGAGCUGGGGCAGCUACUUUAGCUACAGCUACUGGGGCAGCAAUGCUAGAGUAAGAGGUGGCGACAGCUGGGGCAGCAGAGUACUUGGCUACUACUGGGGCAGAGUAGGCAGACACGGCUGGAGCGGCAUAAGAGUGGGCUACUGGGGCGGCGUAGGCGACUGGGGCAGCUACUUUAGCUACGACUGGGGCUACGGCCUUGACAGCAACGGCGGCGGGUUCCUUGUGUACUACAGCGUUGAAACCGUUGUGGGCGUCAGCGGUGUAUUCUAC